AGCAUGUGACAUAGUGCCUGACAAAUACUCAGUAAGUUGUAGGAGGUGCUAUUAUUACCAAUGUCAUCAUGAUUCAUACAUUUCUUUUCUCUCCACUUUGGCUUGACAUGUGGAUACAUGAGGCCGGUAGGAAGAAGUCACCCAUGACUAUCUGGAACAACAUGGUGGGGAAGGCCAAGUUUCUGUGGUGACGUGUGGCAAAUGGAUUGUAAAUGAAGAUAGACUGUGUAAUGAAUGACGACACUAAAGACUAAUGUGAAGGACUUUAGGGAAAACAAAAGGCUUUCAUCUGAAAGGAUCAUCUGUGGACCAAGGUCACUCAUACCACUCACUGCUCAUUUUCUCAUGUUAUCUUAAAACUUUUUUCGGCCUUUAUACUGCUUUCAGCAGCAUUUGUGUGUAAGAAGUGGACGAUGACUUUAAUA
RNAcentral lists this long non-coding RNA (425 nucleotides) under Pan troglodytes (chimpanzee). Its description in RNAcentral is "long non-coding RNA NONPTRT012833". Lineage: Eukaryota; Metazoa; Chordata; Mammalia; Primates; Hominidae. The record is from RNAcentral.